Molecule: long non-coding RNA, 2541 nt
Organism: Sceloporus undulatus (fence lizard)
Lineage: Eukaryota; Metazoa; Chordata; Lepidosauria; Squamata; Phrynosomatidae
Exons: 2
Source: RefSeq, a predicted model, not a curated record
UUCUGACAGGAGUAAAGAAAUUGACACAUACACACAAACUAAUCUUGUUUUGACAGUGCUAAAGAAAUGGACCCCCCCCAAUCCUGUUUUAACAGGACUGAAGAAAUAGUUGGGGGUUUUUGGUGUAGGGGACCUGCUACUAGUUUAACCACCCUUGUUGUGUGUUUGUAGGUUGCUUCUGACUCAUAGUGACCUUCUGAUGGGGUUUUCUUGGCAAGUUUCUUCAGAAGGGUUUUGCCGUGGCCAUUUUCUGAGGCUGAGAGAGUGUGACUUGAGCAAGGUUACCCCAGUGGGUUUCCAUGGCCAAGACGGGCUUCAAACCCUGGCCUCUCAGUGUCCUAGUCCCUCUUCCCUUCUGCGACUCAGCCUUGUCUUCACUCAGUUGCUCUUCUCUUGGAUCCCCCCUUUUUGAAGCAAGAGUGUUGAGGCCAAGGGACAGAGAAAGGUGUCACUCCCUAGUACCCCAUAAAAUGCCUGCUUAUGGGUGCAAUUGGAGCCAAUCUCUCUGGAAGGGAAGCUUCUCAAAGAUUCACAAUAUGGGUUAAUUGGCUGGAGGGUUGCAGGACAGCCUAGAUAUUGAAGUCCAGAUGCAAUGGGGCUCCAUAUGUUUCUCUGUAGAUGUGAACACAGGUGCAUACCUACACACUCUUAACAUCCUAGGAGAUGCAAUGGCACUUGUGUAUGUUGCCAAGCUUUGCCAUUCACUUAACUAUCCAUAGAUUGCAUCGGCAUUCUUUAAAGAGUAGUGUGCAGCGAAAUGUAGAUAGCCUUGUGUGUUCAGCUCAGUUCACUUCACCAAAUGUGUAUUCUCCCUAAAUACCCUCAGAAGGCACCAGAUCCCAUCUGAUCUUGAAAGCUGAGCAGGGUCAGCUCUAGUUAGUACUUGGAUGGGAGACUAGCAAUGAAUGCCUGGUGUUGUAGGCUAUAUUUCAGAGGAAGGAUCUGGCAAAACCACCUCUGAGUAUUCCUUGCCUAAGGAAACCUUAUGAAAUUAAUGGGGUUGCCAUAAGUCAACAGGUGACUUUAAAGGCAUUCGCACACACACAGGUUAAAAGGACGCCAUUUCCAUUUCUUACACAGGGGAAGAUUUCUCCACAUUUGCCCUGGGUUAGCAAGGGAGGGCUACCCAAAUAGCAGUCUUUUUCAGGUGUGACCAUUAUGGAUACAAAUGGAUAUCUGAGUACAGUAUACAUCUACAUCCCAUAGAUGACCUGGACAUCUCAGAAUGGGCUGAGCACAUCUUGGGAAGCGAAGAGAGAUCGUCCAUUAGUUGUGGUAUUUGUGAUUAUAGCUGGAUUGGGGUCAGUGUGUUUAGAUCUAAACUGUUAGAAGGACUCUUGAGCAUUUUGAUGACAGAUAGGAAAAUGUAAAUAGUCUUUGUUUCACUUAAGGUUAUAUGUUAUGUGAGAGUGGAGAAUACCAUCUUUCCAAUCCAUCAUCCCCAGUAGUAAAAGUAGGCUCAGAGAAAGAAUCCAUGUGACAGGUAUUUAUCUAAAUAUCACAGUUCUAUGGAGAGCUCUAGAUUUUGCUCUUGCUUGGUUGUGCUGCCCUGUGAAAGUGUGUGAGCUUCUGCUGCUGUUGGUGGUCCUUGUGGGGCUAUGAAGCAAAAGGCUGCCACACCUGACAGCUUACAGCUUGUGUCACUAAUGGCUACACUGGGAGAGGGUCUGUAGAAAUACAGGACUCGUCCCUCCAGCUUCCUUUGCCUGAGUGUGUCUAAAGAAGGUAUAGCUGGACAGUGAAAAUCUUUUUUUCUUGCUUAAGGCUAUCAUUUGCACCAACUCUAAUUUCCCACUCUUGUUUCUGUUGUUCUUUUGCAGGCUGGUGUUGUGAAUAAGCAAGGGGACAGUAUUCUGUGCCGCUGAACUGCAUGCACUUCUAAGGUGUGCGGCAGGCAGAUCCUGAGCCAGAGAAGCAGAAAGAAAGACACAUUAGAGGGAGGGGGGGGAAAAGAAAGAAAUAUCAGCCACUGGGCAAAAAGGAAAAAAACAAAACCUACUCCUGAAUUCUUUCCAUACUUCCUUUAGAGAGAAAGAGAGGAGAAUUUUUCACGACUUUUGCACGUUCAUAGCAUUUUACACACAUGUCUCUUAAUUCUUUUGUUUUUAGAUCAGAUGUGAAUUGUACUCUUGUCUGGGAGGGAGGGGGUUUAAAUCUUCAGCAUGAGUGUGGCUCUUCUGUUGGAUAGAGAGAAGAUCAAGGACAAAUGGGGAGUGUAGAAGUUUUAACUUUUAAUGUGCUGAGCAGCUGAAAUCUGAAGCUUUACUAAUCUACCAGAGGCAUUGUAGAUAACUUUUGUUUGGACAUCUAUUGUUUAAAAUAGAUGGUUUUAUUGUUUCCUCGGGGACUUUCUUCUCCCUGGAGGAAUGUUACAUAUUGUAUAGAUUAAAAAAAAAUGAAGAAGAAGAGGAGAAAGCGACAUUUCAUACUAUGUAUAUAGAGAGAGGUUCUAUAAGUGUAAGUGAGAAAAGUAUAUGCUUUAAUAGACCUACUGUAAUUAUAAAAUAUUUUUAAUUAAAUAUUUUUUGUAAAUAUUCUAAA